Molecule: ribosomal RNA, 424 nt
Filed under: uncultured bacterium
Lineage: Bacteria
Description: bacterial SSU rRNA
Rfam family: Bacterial small subunit ribosomal RNA
Source: RNAcentral
GGGAAUAUUGGGCAAUGGGCGAAAGCCUGAUCCAGCAAUGCCGCGUGUGUGAAGAAGGCCCUAGGGUUGUAAAGCACUUUCAGUGGGGAAGAAAAGCGGAGUGUUAAUACCACUCUGUGCUGACGUUACCCACAGAAGAAGCACCGGCUAACUCCGUGCCAGCAGCCGCGGUAAUACGGAGGGUGCGAGCGUUAAUCGGAAUUACUGGGCGUAAAGGGCGCGUAGGUGGUUUGAUAAGUCGGAUGUGAAAGCCCCGGGCUUAACUUGGGAAUUGCAUUCGAUACUGUCAGGCUGGAGUGUGGUAGAGGAAAGCGGAAUUCCCGGUGUAGCGGUGAAAUGCGUAGAUAUCGGGAGGAACAUCAGUGGCGAAGGCGGCUUUCUGGACCAACACUGACACUGAGGCGCGAAAGCGUGGGGAGCAAAC